Boleophthalmus pectinirostris (great blue-spotted mudskipper) is the source of this 1074-nucleotide long non-coding RNA. RefSeq lists it as uncharacterized. The transcript has 3 exons. The record is from RefSeq and is a predicted model, not a curated record. NCBI's taxonomy places the organism in Eukaryota, Metazoa, Chordata, Actinopteri, Gobiiformes, Gobiidae.
UGGAAGAACUUUGAGCUAACUCAAGAGAACAGAAACAUAUUUUUGCAGCAUUUAAGACAGUCUGACAGCCAAUUACCAUCAUCUUUUCUAUACUAAAAGUACUUUGUACACAGCCCAAGUUGUAGUUUUUGGACUUUUUAAAGAAGAGGGCUAUUUUUCUGGACUGUGAUUUCCAGCAAUAUUUCCUUGUCUGCUUUUGUCGAUGUGUUGUUUUUAACAGGCUCACCCAUGGGGCUCUUGUACUCCUGCAAGCCUCGUAGCCUGUGCUUACCAACUGAGGAGGAAUGCAGAGCAGAAGACUACAACAGGAGACAUUGGGUGGACCGCUGUUGUGACAUGUGCUGCCAGAUGUGUGUGUAUAUGUUCGCUGGUGUGUGCAAUAGGGACUGCAGCUACACAUUUUGCACUCAUUGCCUCGGCCUGGCUCAAAACUGUAUCGCAAUUUUCUCUGGACAAAAAGCAGCAACAAUAGCAGUGCCUGGGAGGGAUCCUGAGGAGUGUGUGUAGAGAAAUCCAACCAUUUAAGUGCACUGAAGUGAGACCCCUCAUCGACACAAGACUUGGAGUUGACCCAUUUUCUUCGCUGGUCACAAGAAGCCUUUGUAAUUAACGGUGAAGCGUUUUUUGGCGAAUAGAGGAGUCAUUCUUUCAAGAGGGGGGAGGCAACUAUGGGCCUCAAGUAGGGUGCAUCUUGGACAGUAGAACAUUUGUCAAGGGAUAACACUUUCACAUUCACAAUUUAACAUUUUGACUGUGAAAUAAAACUUGAUUUAACUGAAGAGCUUAUAAUAAGUUGCAUCACAUGACAUCAUUUUCCCAAAAGCUUAAUGGAGCACUGCGUAACAUUUCUAGUGGAGGGUCUAUAUGGAGAUAUAAAUAUUAACAAUUUACAAUAACAUGGCCAAGAGGCACAACUCCACUCAAAGAUUAACAGAAUGUUUCUAUUUUUAUUCUCUCUAAUAUCGUUUUAUGUAAACUAUCAGGUGAAAAGUGUCAGUAACGCCAUGGUACAAAUACCUUUUUAUACAGAAUUAUUUGUAUAGUUGUGUUUUAAUAAAAGGUCUUCAAAUCUAA